GAUGAACGCUAGCUACAGGCUUAACACAUGCAAGUCGAGGGGAAACGACAUCGAAAGCUUGCUUUUGAUGGGCGUCGACCGGCGCACGGGUGAGUAACGCGUAUCCAACCUGCCCACCACUUGGGGAUAACCUUGCGAAAGUAAGACUAAUACCCAAUGAGAUCCCGCGAAGGCAUCCGAAUGGGAUUAAAGAUUUAUCGGUGAUGGAUGGGGAUGCGUCUGAUUAGCUUGUUGGCGGGGUGACGGCCCACCAAGGCAACGAUCAGUAGGGGUUCUGAGAGGAAGGUCCCCCACAUUGGAACUGAGACACGGUCCAAACUCCUACGGGAGGCAGCAGUGAGGAAUAUUGGUCAAUGGGCGAGAGCCUGAACCAGCCAAGUAGCGUGCAGGAUGACGGCCCUAUGGGUUGUAAACUGCUUUUAUAAGGGAAUAAAGUGGGUCACGUGUGACUUUUUGCAUGUACCUUAUGAAUAAGGACCGGCUAAUUCCGU
Molecule: ribosomal RNA, 491 nt
Filed under: uncultured bacterium
Lineage: Bacteria
Description: partial 16S ribosomal RNA
Rfam family: Bacterial small subunit ribosomal RNA
Source: RNAcentral